UACGUAGGGGGCAAGCGUUGUCCGGAAUCAUUGGGCGUAAAGCGCGUGUAGGCGGCUUCGUAAGUCCGUUGUGAAAGUCCAGGGCUCAACCCUGGAAUGCCGAUGGAUACUGCGGAGCUAGAGUCCGGAAGAGGCGAGUGGAAUUCCUGGUGUAGCGGUGAAAUGCGCAGAUAUCAGGAGGAACACCAAUGGCGAAGGCAGCACUCUGGGACGUGACUGACGCUGAGACACGAAAGCGUGGGGAGCAAACAGG
Molecule: ribosomal RNA, 253 nt
Filed under: uncultured bacterium
Lineage: Bacteria
Description: partial 16S ribosomal RNA
Rfam family: Bacterial small subunit ribosomal RNA
Source: RNAcentral